This 754-nucleotide ribosomal RNA is filed under the name uncultured fungus. RNAcentral describes it as "eukaryotic LSU rRNA". The stretch from base 301 to 454 matches the Rfam family "5.8S ribosomal RNA". The record is from RNAcentral. Lineage: Eukaryota; Fungi.
CUUGGUCAUUUAGAGGAAGUAAAAGUCGUAACAAGGUUUCCGUAGGUGAACCGGCGGAAGGAUCAUUAUCGAGUUUUUGAAACGGGUUGUCGCUGGUCCCAUUCUUAACAGAGUCGGGACAUGUGCACACCUGGCUUCAUUCCACUCUUCAACCCCUGUGCACUUGUUGUAGGUUUCAGGUCGGACGCGGGGCUUUCGACUUCAUCGUCGAGAGCUUCAAGGAGAGCCUGAGCCUAUGUUUUACUACACACACGCUUCAGUUAUAGAAUGUAAACAUCGCGUAUAACGCAUUUUAAAUACAACUUUCAGCAACGGAUCUCUUGGCUCUCGCAUCGAUGAAGAACGCAGCGAAAUGCGAUAAGUAAUGUGAAUUGCAGAAUUCAGUGAAUCAUCGAAUCUUUGAACGCACCUUGCGCUCCUUGGUAUUCCGAGGAGCAUGCCUGUUUGAGUGUCAUGGAAUUCUCAACCUUUGAAAGCUUUUAUUGGUUCUCAAAGGCUUGGACUUGGAGGUCGUGUCGGCUCUGCAAAGAAUGUCGACUCCUCUGAAACGUAUCAGUGCGAACCUUUACGGAUCGUCUUCGGUGUGAUAAACGUCUACGCCGUGGUCGUGAAGUAUGAUCGUGUCCGUGCUUCUAACCGUCUCCUUUGCGAGACAAAAACUGUGUUACUUACUAUAAGUAAACAUAGGCAUUGACAAUCUGACCUCAAAUCAGUAGGACUACCCGCUGAACUUAAGCAUAUCAUAAGCGGAGGA